CAGUGACCACAGUGUUGAAGAGGUAUCAGACAAAAAAAUUUGGACAAGUUUGUAUUGUGAUUUUCCACUGACUGAAGAAAGCAGACAUGUGCACCACACAGCCUGUUAAGCUCCUCAGCAGCUCUUUCUGAAUUCAGCGUUGUGUGAGCAUGUCGCCUGCAGGGCAGAGCGAACUGCUGGGGAGCCCUGCUCUCUGAUUCCUCCUCCAAGAACAAACACGUAAUUUUAAGUAAAAUAUCAAAUGAUGGAGAUCUGUUUCGGUGUCAUAUAAAACAAACAAUGAAUGAUUUCCAUUUGUGCAGUGGAAAGAACAUUUUCCAGGAGUUGAAAAAUAGAAUUUA
Thalassophryne amazonica is the source of this 341-nucleotide long non-coding RNA. RefSeq lists it as uncharacterized. The record is from RefSeq and is a predicted model, not a curated record. The transcript is spliced from 4 exons. NCBI's taxonomy places the organism in Eukaryota, Metazoa, Chordata, Actinopteri, Batrachoidiformes, Batrachoididae.